Molecule: ribosomal RNA, 512 nt
Filed under: uncultured bacterium
Lineage: Bacteria
Description: partial 16S ribosomal RNA
Rfam family: Bacterial small subunit ribosomal RNA
Source: RNAcentral
ACGAACGCUGGCGGCGUGCUUAACACAUGCAGGUCGAACGAAAAGAGGGAAAGAGCUUGCUCUUUCCGGAAUUGAGUGGCAGACGGGUGAGUAACACGUAAACAACCUGCCUUCAGGAUGGGGACAACAGACGGAAACGACUGCUAAUACCGAAUAAGUUCCAAGGGCCGCAUGGCCCAUGGAAGAAAAGGUGGCCUCUACCUGUAAGCUAUCGCCUGAAGAGGGGUUUGCGUCUGAUUAGCUGGUUGGAGGGGUAACGGCCCACCAAGGCGACGAUCAGUAGCCGGUCUGAGAGGAUGAACGGCCACACUGGAAUUGAGACACGGUCCAGACUCCUACGGGAGGCAGCAGUGGGGAAUCUUCCGCAAUGGGCGAAAGCCUGACGGAGCAACGCCGCGUGAGUGAUGACGGCCUUCGGGUUGUAAAACUCUGUGAUCCGGGACGAAAAGGCAGAGUGCGAAGAACAAACUGCAUUGACGGUACCGGAAAAGCAAGCCACGGCUAACUACGUG